UCGAGAAUUUUUCUCAAUGGGGGAAACCCUGAAGGAGCGACGCCGCGUGGAGGAUGAAGGUCUUCGGAUUGUAAACUCCUGUCAUUGGUGAACAAAGCCACGGGUUAACUGCCUGGUGGUUUGCUAGUAGCCGAAGAGGAAGGGACGGCUAACUCUGUGCCAGCAGCCGCGGUAAUACAGAGGUCCCGAGCGUUGUUCGGAUUUAUUGGGCGUAAAGGGUGCGUAGGUGGCAGAGUAAGUUGGAUGUGAAAUCCUGGGGCUUAACCUCAGAAUUGCAUUCAAUACUGCUUUGCUAGAGAGCUGUAGAGGAGACUGGAAUUUACGGUGUAGCAGUGAAAUGCGUAGAUAUCGUAAGGAACGCCAGUGGCGAAAGCGAGUCUCUGGGCAGCAUCUGACACUGAGGCACGAAGGCCAGGGGAGCAAACGGGAUUAGAUACCCCCGUAGUCC
This 448-nucleotide ribosomal RNA is filed under the name uncultured bacterium. Its description in RNAcentral is "bacterial SSU rRNA". It matches the Rfam family "Bacterial small subunit ribosomal RNA", at positions 355 to 796 of the family's 1533-position model. The record is from RNAcentral.